AUUGAACGCUGGCGGCAUGCCUUACACAUGCAAGUCGAACGGUAACAGGUUAAGCUGCCGAGUGGCGAACGGGUGAGUCAUACAUCGGAACGUGCCCAGUAGUGGGGGAUAGCCCGGCGAAAGCCGGAUUAAUACCGCAUACGACCUAAGGGUGAAAGGGGGGGAUCGCAAGACCUCUCGCUAUUGGAGCGGCCGAUGUCAGAUUAGCUAGUUGGUGGGGUAAAAGCUCACCAAGGCGACGAUCUGUAGCUGGUCUGAGAGGACGACCAGCCACACUGGGACUGAGACACGGCCCAGACUCCUACGGGAGGCAGCAGUGGGGAAUUUUGGACAAUGGGCGCAAGCCUGAUCCAGCCAUGCCGCGUGCGGGAAGAAGGCCUUCGGGUUGUAAACCGCUUUUGUCAGGGAAGAAAUCCUUUGGGUUAAUACCUCGGGGGGAUGACGGUACCUGAAGAAUAAGCACCGGCUAACUACGUG
Molecule: ribosomal RNA, 477 nt
Filed under: uncultured bacterium
Lineage: Bacteria
Description: partial 16S ribosomal RNA
Rfam family: Bacterial small subunit ribosomal RNA
Source: RNAcentral